GCAUUUGAAUGACUCCUGGCAAUGGAUAUCUUGGCUCUCGUGUCGAUGAAGAACGUAGCGAAAUGCGACACUUGGUGUGAAUUGCAGAAUCCCGUGAAUCAUCGAGUCUUUGAAUGCAAGUUGCGCUCGAGGCCAUUAGGUCGAGAGCACGUCUGCUUGGGCGUCAU
Molecule: ribosomal RNA, 167 nt
Filed under: Allium trifurcatum
Lineage: Eukaryota; Viridiplantae; Streptophyta; Magnoliopsida; Asparagales; Amaryllidaceae
Description: 5.8S ribosomal RNA
Rfam family: 5.8S ribosomal RNA
About the family: 5.8S ribosomal RNA (5.8S rRNA) is a component of the large subunit of the eukaryotic ribosome. It is transcribed by RNA polymerase I as part of the 45S precursor that also contains 18S and 28S rRNA.
Source: RNAcentral